This 648-nucleotide long non-coding RNA is filed under the name Nicotiana benthamiana. Its description in RNAcentral is "long non-coding RNA (NBEN_LNC006911)". Lineage: Eukaryota; Viridiplantae; Streptophyta; Magnoliopsida; Solanales; Solanaceae. The record is from RNAcentral.
UUGUGUUUGGUAAUUAGUAUAUAUUGUGUAUACGUAGUGUAUAUUUUGUAUAUAAGUAGUAUAUAUUGUAUUUAAGUAGCAUAUAUUGUAUAUAAGUAGUGUAUAUUGUGUUGUAGUUAGUAAUUAGUAUAAAUUGUAUAUAAGUAGUAUAUAUUGAUAAAAGAAUGUUGUCAUUAGUAUAUUGUGUUGUAUGUUAUAUAUUGUAUGUUAUAUAAAUAUUCAAGGAUUGAUAUGGAUGUAAAGGACAAAGAAAUAUUGACACAAAAGAUGUUCAAGUAUAUGAUAAAGAGCAUAUUUAUUGACCAAAAUGGCAUAUUUUCUUAGUCUUCCUUCCCCCAAUGAAAUGAGCACAACAUCGUACUAAUACCACCAUUAAAAGAAAAAAAACUAAAAGAAGACAUGCCAAUGUAUACAUGAUAAUUUAUGCAUUAUUUCUAACAAAUCUCAUAAAACCUUCAAGGUUAGGAGGUGGUUGUGUUGGCGGUGGUGGAAAUGAAGCUUGUUCAUCACCACUACCGGGUGAAGAUGUUUCCUGAGCAAGUUCAGCUAGCAUUUCUUCAUAGCACUCGUCUAUUUCUGGUUGUGAUUCAGCUAGCUCAAAGUUCCAUCUUUCGGCGUGGAUCCAAUUUCGAAAAAGAACUGAUUUUU